This 560-nucleotide ribosomal RNA is filed under the name uncultured Glomus. RNAcentral's name for it is "SSU rRNA". It matches the Rfam family "Eukaryotic small subunit ribosomal RNA", at positions 546 to 1106 of the family's 1831-position model. The record is from RNAcentral. Lineage: Eukaryota; Fungi; Glomeromycota; Glomeromycetes; Glomerales; Glomeraceae.
AAUUGGAGGGCAAGUCUGGUGCCAGCAGCCGCGGUAAUUCCAGCUCCAAUAGCGUAUAUUAAAGUUGUUGCAGUUAAAAAGCUCGUAGUUGAAUUUCGGGAUCAAUAUUUCGGUCAUGCCGUUGGUAUGCACUGUUAUCAUUGAUUUCUCACCUUCUAAAGAACCGUAAUGCCAUUAAUUUGGUGUUACGGGGAAUUAGGACUGUUACCUUGAAAAAAUUAGAGUGUUUAAAGCAGGCUCACGCUUGAAUACAUUAGCAUGGAAUAAUGAAAUAGGACAUCCGAUUCUAUUUUGUUGGUUCCUAGGAUCGAUGUAAUGAUUAAUAGGGAUAGUUGGGGGCAUUAGUAUUCAAUUGUCAGAGGUGAAAUUCUUGGAUUUAUUGAAGACUAACUACUGCGAAAGCAUUUGCCAAGGAUGUUUUCAUUAAUCAAGAACGAAAGUUAGGGGAUCGAAGACGAUCAGAUACCGUCGUAGUCUUAACCAUAAACUAUGCCGACUAGGGAUCGGAUGAUGUUAAUUUUUUAAUGACUCAUUCGGCGCCUUACGGGAAACCAAAGUGU